Camelina sativa (false flax) is the source of this 1035-nucleotide non-coding RNA. Lineage: Eukaryota; Viridiplantae; Streptophyta; Magnoliopsida; Brassicales; Brassicaceae. The record is from RefSeq and is a predicted model, not a curated record.
CUCCGACAGCAACCGCUGCUUUUAACCAUUCUCUCGUUCUUUUUAGUUACAAAACAACAACUCUCUCCCUCUUUCCCUCUACGCAAGGCCACGAAAUCAAUUACUUGUUGGGGUUGAGUCGGGUCGGGUAAACGGGCAUCCAAAUUUUUAGGGUCCCGCCACGGUCCCAGCCAGUAAGUUUGUGAUCGAGACAAAGGUGAGCUUAGGAAAUAAUGGCGAGCUCAGGUAUGAGCAGGCCUGGGUUACUGGGUAAGAGAGAUCUCCCAGAGGGCUUUCAUCGACCUAGUCCUCUACUCCAACUUCCUUCUCUUGCAACCUCUGGAGAUCUCUCUCGUUAUGAUUUUGAAGGUUUGAAACCCAACUAUGAAGCUGUAGGAUCUGAUUGACGUGUGCAUUGAAUUGCAAAUAGAAAGAUGAUAAAUUUGGAUCUUGAUUGCUUGGAAUUGAUAGGUAGGGAAGUAACUUCCAGCAGCUGUUGAUAGAGCUUAUAGUGUCUCUUAGGAAUUCAAUUAGAAAAGAUGGAAAAGUUUUGCAUCGUUUUGCUUGAAUUUGAAACAGUACACUGAUGACUUCAGGUAAAAUACUUUUUUUGGUUGCAUUAUUUAGCUCAAGGUCUAAGUAUAUUGUUAGGGAACUGAAGGUUUGAUGAUGUUGCGGCUCUGUGGUGUGUAUUUCCUCCAUGCUCCACUGUGGAUAUUGUUUUAUCAGAUUUGCUUGGAGAAUGAUCAGAGCAAGAUGGAGGCAGCAGACUACUCUUAAACGAGCCAUUAGCUAAUAUUGUUAGGGACUGGCUGAACCCAGACCAUUGCCCUCAGCAGCUGUAGAACUGUCAGGCGAUGCUAUGCUAUGCUCUUCAUCAUUAUCAUCCACGGUUAGCUUUUGGAGACUCUCUUUUUGGAGUUAUAGAGUCUGUGUUAAAGUGUUUUCCAGAUUCACGAUAGAGCAAAAGUGCUCAAAGUACUAUACUUUUUUUGUACAUCUUGAGACACUGUGGUUAAAAUUUACAAGUAUGAUGAAACUUCUUCUUGUGAUCCA